CCGGGCCCAGGGCUCACAUCCGCCGUGGGGAGGGCAACCUCCCGACCCCUCGGACCCACACGUACCACUGCAGCGCCGGUCGGCACCUAAGACUUAUUGUCUUGGAGAGCCCAGCCUUACCGAAACCCUGAGCCUACCUGGGGCCAGAAAGAGAAACCCCCAUUAAGAUUACAGUUAUGAGGCAGCAGGUGUACUAUAAGAACAAGAUCUGCAAGAAAAAAACUGGAGCCGGGAUGGGCCAUAUGAGACCAGCUGAGCAACAGAACACUUUGGCUCCUCUUUUGGAGAAGAAGGAGAGAAUCUGAGAACAAAACGUAAAAGACAAGAGAAAUAGAGGAUCCAAGAUUUCUUUUUUAAGAUGGCAGAGACCAGAGCAUGUUUGUAGGGAAAAAACUCUUUCCUUAGUGCCCAGGGAAAGAGGCACUAGAUUGGGAAAGAUUGAAAUUGAGAGGAAAAGAAUGAUAAGUUGCAUAGCACAAUGGGGAACUAGACUUGGAGUCAGAAAGACCUGACUUCAACUUCUCCCUCAGAUAUUCACUAACUGUGUAACUCUGGGCAACUCUCUCAACCCCUCUGGGCCUCAGUUUCCUUAUUUGUUAAAUGAGAGGGUUUAAUAAAUAAAAGACUUGGUGGUCUCUAAAGUUUUUGAGCUCUAAAUGCAAAAUGGUAGAUCAACCCAAUUUUUACAAUAAUGUACUGCAAACA
Molecule: long non-coding RNA, 705 nt
Organism: Sarcophilus harrisii (Tasmanian devil)
Lineage: Eukaryota; Metazoa; Chordata; Mammalia; Dasyuromorphia; Dasyuridae
Exons: 2
Source: RefSeq, a predicted model, not a curated record